UGGUGAGGAGGAGGGAAGGUCUAGCGUCGGCGGUGGAGGAGGGAAGGUCUAGUGCCGGCGGUGGAGGGAUGCCGCCUCGAGGAGCGGCAGGUACCGGAGGGGGUGUGUGAGGAGAGAGGGUGGGGGAGGGCUUAGUGGCGUACAGGGAGAGUAGGAGCAGGUGGGUGCUUCGGGAUCUAGGGAAGAGGGGUAGCGGUGGUGGCGAGGGAAAAGGGGUAGCGUCAGGAAGGGGUACAUAGCGCAACGGGUCUAGGUGCGGUGUGGAGCGGCAGGUGUGUGCGAGUGGCAGGUGCGGAGGUAGGGAGGAAGAGACGGAGCGGGACAGAGGGUGGUGCGAUGUGUGGCGUGCGGUGUGCGGUGGAGGCGGGAGGGGAGCGGUGGCGCGAUUAGGGUAGCAGCUCGGGUCAAGGGGGGUGUGAUCUGCUCGCGGCGACCGCCGCCGUCCAGUGGUACCGGCGGAGGAGAGAGGGAGAGGGCACUGAGAGGAGUGGGGGCGGUGGAGGAGACUAGGGUCGGCUAGGGGCCAGCCAACUUCUCCAGGGCCACUCUAACCUGGACGGAUUCCCGUAGUUCUACGUCUGCGUCUCGCACACGUUUACUGCCUCCUCCGCUUCUUCCUCGUAUUCUUCUACGAGCUGUUCGAGAGGGUGGUUCGCCUGCUAUACUUCCCUAGCAUGUACUUCAAUUACUGUCUCCACGUCAGCAGAAGUAGAGUACCAUGAUGCCGCUACCUCGUCUCUGUAGAUAGAAGACUUAACAUGAAGUAAAGUCAGGAGUUAAGUUCUAUGAUACUCAAUUGCUACCAAACCAUAUACUCAAGCAUAGUGAAGAAGACAAAGCUUUAACUGUAUACUCAACGAAUACAAGUCAUUUAAAGUACUUACAUACUCACAAACAGGUAUUUUUAGUUCUCCACAUCGUAUAUAGAUGGUCCCUAUCAUUAAUAACAACGAAUGUCCAAUGGUUUCACAACGUCAAGUAUGAUUUACGUCAAGAUCACCUUCAGUAUUAUAUAGUUCCUGCCUAUUCUCUAGUAGAUGAAAGUAUUCCAGGUACUAGAUCGGCUUGGUGAUUACCUACACCGCAGAUGCUUCGUGAUGUGGAUCGAACGAACGACCGCGCGCGCACGCACGAAGCUACGUGCUGCGAAGUAGCUCGACCGACCUGGUGCCGUUAGAGGUCUCGUCCUCGGCCUCCUCCGCUGCUCUACGAUGACGACGUCGACGUAGGAGCCUCCGUCGUCGACGGGGAGCGGCUGGAGUGGUUGGAGGCCGCAGGCGGUACUCGAGUCGCGUCCUGGGGAAGAUGUAGCAGGUCCUCCUCUAGGUCCCUACCUAGCCAUUCGACGUCUGAUGCAAGGUAGCGACCCUCGUUCAAAGAAGUUUGUUGCCUCUUAUACAGGUAGCCUGUUAUAGUAGCGACCGUCGUUCAAAGAAGUUUGGACUAAUGAAACAGUAGUCCGUCCGACUAACGUAGGUUGAGUUUCUCAAGGUGUAAAGAUUGAACUCCCAAGGUGAACGUGUACUACCGGGGUGUUGAGGAAUACCUUUCUUCGAAGGACGUCGACUGUUGUUCUACGACCGGAAGUAAGAAGUUAUCAACCCACGUAUCCUCGAAAUACUUCUUCUUAGGGCUUCCUUUUGGUGUGGGUCGUUACGCAAAAUCGAGUGACGUCGAUCAAUACACAACAUAUAAAUCAACAUAAGAUAUCGACUUAUGGUCUAGACAUGAUACAUAGUAACAUUACAUGAAACGAAUCGAUAACAUACUUUAUAGUACGGAAUAACCGAGAAACUUAGUUUAAUAGAUUAACGUGUUUAUAUCUUGACUGUACACCA
RNAcentral lists this ribosomal RNA (1838 nucleotides) under Triticum aestivum (bread wheat). Its description in RNAcentral is "partial small subunit ribosomal RNA". Lineage: Eukaryota; Viridiplantae; Streptophyta; Magnoliopsida; Poales; Poaceae. The record is from RNAcentral.